AACGAACGCUGGCGGCAUGCCUAACACAUGCAAGUCGAACGAGACCUUCGGGUCUAGUGGCGCACGGGUGCGUAACGCGUGGGAACCUGCCCUUAGGUUCGGAAUAACUCCCCGAAAGGGGUGCUAAUACCGGAUAAUGUCUUCGGACCAAAGAUUUAUCGCCUUUGGAUGGGCCCGCGUUGGAUUAGCUAGUUGGUAGGGUAAAAGCCUACCAAGGCGACGAUCCAUAGCUGGUCUGAGAGGAUGAUCAGCCACACUGGGACUGAGACACGGCCCAGACUCCGACGGGAGGCAGCAGUGGGGAAUAUUGGACAAGGGGCGAAAGCCUGAGCCAGCAAUGCCGCGUGAGUGAUGAAGGCCUUAGGGGUGUAAAGCUCUUUUACCCGGGAUGAUAAUGACAGUACCGGGAGAAUAAGCUCCGGCUAACUCCG
RNAcentral lists this ribosomal RNA (431 nucleotides) under uncultured bacterium. Its description in RNAcentral is "partial 16S ribosomal RNA". It matches the Rfam family "Bacterial small subunit ribosomal RNA", at positions 29 to 505 of the family's 1533-position model. The record is from RNAcentral.